This 850-nucleotide ribosomal RNA is filed under the name uncultured bacterium. RNAcentral's name for it is "bacterial SSU rRNA". It matches the Rfam family "Bacterial small subunit ribosomal RNA", at positions 1 to 867 of the family's 1533-position model. The record is from RNAcentral.
CGCGUUACGAUUCGCCCCUUGAGUUUGAUCAUGGACUCAGGAUGAACGCCGGCGGCGUGCCUAACACAUGCAAGUCGAGCGAUCUUCUUCGGAAGAGAGCGGCGGACGGGUGAGUAACGCGUGGGUAACCUGCCUCAUACACAUGGAUAACAUACCGAAAGGUAUGCUAAUACAAGAUGAUAUAAGAGAUUCGCAUGGAUUUCUUAUCAAAGCUCCGGCGGUAUGAGAUGGACCCGCGUCUGAUUAGCUAGUUGGUAAGGUAACGGCUUACCAAGGCGACGAUCAGUAGCCGACCUGAGAGGGUGAUCGGCCACAUUGGAACUGAGACACGGUCCAAACUCCUACGGGAGGCAGCAGUGGGGAAUAUUGCACAAUGGGCGAAAGCCUGAUGCAGCAACGCCGCGUGAGCGAUGAAGGCCUUCGGGUCGUAAAGCUCUGUCCCCAAGGAGGAUAAUGACGGUACUUGAGGAGGAAGCCCCGGCUAACUACGUGCCAGCAGCCGCGGUAAUACGUAGGGGGCUAGCGUUAUCCGGAUUUACUGGGCGUAAAGGGUGCGUAGGUGGUUUCUUAAGUCAGGAGUGAAAGGCUACGGCUCAACCGUAGUAAGCUCUUGAAACUGGGAAACUUGAGUGCAGGAGAGGAAAGUGGAAUUCCUAGUGUAGCGGUGAAAUGCGUAGAUAUUAGGAGGAACACCAGUAGCGAAGGCGGCUUUCUGGACUGUAACUGACACUGAGGCACGAAAGCGUGGGGAGCAAACAGGAUUAGAUACCCUGGUAGUCCACGCCGUAAACGAUGAGUACUAGGUGUCGGGGGUUACCCCCCUCGGUGCCGCAGCUAACGCAUUAAGUAC